This 179-nucleotide unclassified non-coding RNA is filed under the name uncultured fungus. RNAcentral's name for it is "sequence contains ITS1". Lineage: Eukaryota; Fungi. The record is from RNAcentral.
UCCAUCUCAACUGAGCCGGCGCGGCCCCAUUUGGUGGUAACGCGAAAGCGUGUACGCGCCGUCACUCUUACCCUUUUUUACGAGUACCUUCGUUCUCCUUCGGUGGGGCAACCUGCCGCUGGAAUCAACAAAACCUUUUUUGCAUCUAGCAUUACCUGUUCUGAUACAAAUAAUCGUUA